GUACACUCCUACGGGAGGCAGCAGUGGGGAAUUUUGGACAAUGGGCGAAAGCCUGAUCCAGCAAUGCCGCGUGCAGGAUGAAGGCCUUCGGGUUGUAAACUGCUUUUGUACGGAACGAAAAGCUCCUUCUAAUACAGGGGGCCCAUGACGGUACCGUAAGAAUAAGCACCGGCUAACUACGUGCCAGCAGCCGCGGUAAUACGUAGGGUGCGAGCGUUAAUCGGAAUUACUGGGCGUAAAGCGUGCGCAGGCGGUUAUGUAAGACAGAUGUGAAAUCCCCGGGCUCAACCUGGGAACUGCAUUUGUGACUGCAUGGCUAGAGUACGGUAGAGGGGGAUGGAAUUCCGCGUGUAGCAGUGAAAUGCGUAGAUAUGCGGAGGAACACCGAUGGCGAAGGCAAUCCCCUGGACCUGUACUGACGCUCAUGCACGAAAGCGUGGGGAGCAAACAGGAUUAGAUACCCCAGUAGUCCCA
RNAcentral lists this ribosomal RNA (474 nucleotides) under uncultured organism. RNAcentral's name for it is "partial 16S ribosomal RNA". It matches the Rfam family "Bacterial small subunit ribosomal RNA", at positions 331 to 797 of the family's 1533-position model. The record is from RNAcentral.